GUUACAGCAGCCGCGGUAAUACAGAGGGGGCAAGCGUUGUUCGGAAUUACUGGGCGUAAAGGGCGCGUAGGCGGCCCGCUAAGUCGAACGUGAAAUCCCUGGGCUCAACCCAGGAACUGCGUCCGAUACUGGCAGGCUUGAAUCCGGGAGAGGGAUGUGGAAUUCCAGGUGUAGCGGUGAAAUGCGUAGAUAUCUGGAGGAACACCGGUGGCGAAGGCGGCAUCCUGGACCGGUAUUGACGCUGAUGCGCGAAAGCCAGGGGAGCAAACGGGAUUAGAUACCCUAGUAGUCC
Molecule: ribosomal RNA, 292 nt
Filed under: uncultured bacterium
Lineage: Bacteria
Description: partial 16S ribosomal RNA
Rfam family: Bacterial small subunit ribosomal RNA
Source: RNAcentral